RNAcentral lists this ribosomal RNA (463 nucleotides) under uncultured bacterium. RNAcentral describes it as "partial 16S ribosomal RNA". It matches the Rfam family "Bacterial small subunit ribosomal RNA", at positions 28 to 507 of the family's 1533-position model. The record is from RNAcentral.
GACGAACGCUGGCGGCACGCCUAACACAUGCCAGUCGAACGGACUUAAAAGAGCUUGCUUUGUUAAGUGAGUGGCGGACGGGUGAGUAACACGUGAGCAACCUGCCUCUGAGAGGGGGAUAGCUUCUGGAAACGGAGGGUAAUACCCGAUAAAAUAUAAAUAUCGCAUGAUAGAUAUAGAAAAGCAAUUCGCUCAGAGAUGGGCUCGCGGCUGCUUAGAUAGUUGGUGGGGUAACGGCUCACCAAGGCGGUGACCAGUAGCCGGACGGAGAGGGUGAACGGCCGCAUUGGGAAUACGGCACAGACCAGACUGCUACGGGACGCAGGAGUGGGUAAUAUUGUAGAAUGGAGCCAACUCUGAUGCAGCCAUGCCGGGUAGAAGAAGAAGGUGUUCGGAUUGUACUCUCCUUUGAUCCGGAGCGAUAAUGACGGUAACUGAUGAAAAAGCUCCGGCUAACUACGUG